This 253-nucleotide ribosomal RNA is filed under the name uncultured bacterium. RNAcentral's name for it is "partial 16S ribosomal RNA". It matches the Rfam family "Bacterial small subunit ribosomal RNA", at positions 524 to 776 of the family's 1533-position model. The record is from RNAcentral.
UACGUAGGGUGCGAGCGUUGUCCGGAAUUACUGGGCGUAAAGAGCUCGUAGGUGGUUUGUCGCGUUGUUCGUGAAAUCUCACGGCUUAACUGUGAGCGUGCGGGCGAUACGGGCAGACUGGAGUACUGCAGGGGAGACUGGAAUUCCUGGUGUAGCGGUGGAAUGCGCAGGUAUCAGGAGGAACACCGGUGGCGAAGGCGGGUCUCUGGGCAGUAACUGACGCUGAGGAGCGAAAGCGUGGGGAGCGAACAGG